This 448-nucleotide ribosomal RNA is filed under the name uncultured bacterium. RNAcentral's name for it is "bacterial SSU rRNA". It matches the Rfam family "Bacterial small subunit ribosomal RNA", at positions 328 to 792 of the family's 1533-position model. The record is from RNAcentral.
UACCCAGACUCCUACGGGAGGCAGCAGUGGGGAAUAUUGCACAAUGGGGGAAGCCCUGAUGCAGCAACGCCGCGUGAGUGAAGAAGUAUUUCGGUAUGUAAAGCUCUAUCAGCAGGGAAGAAGAAGGACGGUACCUGACUAAGAAGCCCCGGCUAACUACGUGCCAGCAGCCGCGGUAAUACGUAGGGGGCGAGCGUUAUCCGGAUUUACUGGGUGUAAAGGGAGCGUAGACGGUUUUUCAAGUCUGAAGUGGAAGCCCGCGGCUCAACUGCGGAACGGCUUUGGAAACUGAGGGACUAGAGUGCUGGAGGGGCAGGCGGAAUUCCUGGUGUAGCGGUGAAAUGCGUAGAUAUCAGGAGGAACACCGGUGGCGAAGGCAGCCUCCUGGGACGCAACUGACGCUCAUACACGAAAGCGUGGGGAGCAAACAGGAUUAGAUACCCUCGUA